GCCCGUUUGGCUUAGUGGUACAGCGUCUCACUCGUACCUUCUGAAUGCGUAAUGAGAAGAUCCUCGGUUCGAUUCCGAGAAUGGGCA
This is a non-coding RNA of Dothidotthia symphoricarpi CBS 119687, 87 nucleotides long. Lineage: Eukaryota; Fungi; Ascomycota; Dothideomycetes; Pleosporales; Dothidotthiaceae. The record is from the annotation of a RefSeq genome assembly.